ACCUUGUUGGCUCAGUUGGUAGAGCAUGAGACUCUUGAUCUUGGGGUUGUAAGUUUGAGCCCCAUGUUGGGUA
This 73-nucleotide transfer RNA is filed under the name Canis lupus familiaris (dog). It matches the Rfam family "tRNA". Rfam says of the family: Transfer RNA (tRNA) molecules are approximately 80 nucleotides in length. RNAcentral also lists the same sequence under 1 other name. The record is from Rfam by way of RNAcentral. Lineage: Eukaryota; Metazoa; Chordata; Mammalia; Carnivora; Canidae.